Molecule: ribosomal RNA, 406 nt
Filed under: uncultured bacterium
Lineage: Bacteria
Description: bacterial SSU rRNA
Rfam family: Bacterial small subunit ribosomal RNA
Source: RNAcentral
UAGCCUUGACAUUGAAGAAAUAGACCAGAGAUGGACUAGUGCCCUUCGGGGAAUCUGAAAACAGGUGCUGCACGGCUGUCGUCAGCUCGUGUCGUGAGAUGUUGGGUUAAGUCCCGCAACGAGCGCAACCCUCGUCCUUAGUUGCUAGCAGUUCGGCUGAGCACUCUAAGGAGACUGCCUUCGCAAGGAGGAGGAAGGUGAGGACGACGUCAAGUCAUCAUGGCCCUUAUGGCUAGGGCUACACACGUGCUACAAUGGGGCGUACAGAGUGUUGCGAUACCGCGAGGUGGAGCUAAUCACUUAAAGCGUCUCUCAGUUCGGAUUGGAGUCUGCAACUCGACUCCAUGAAGCUGGAAUCACUAGUAAUCGUAGAUCAGCAAUGCUACGGUGAAUACGUUCCCGGGUC